CCUACGGGAGGCAGCAGUGAGGAAUAUUGGUCAAUGGUCGGGAGACUGAACCAGCCAAGCCGCGUGAGGGAUGAAGGUACUGUGUAUCGUAAACCUCUUUUGUCAGGGAACAAAGGCGGGGACGUGUCCCCGGAUGAGUGUACCUGAUGAAAAAGCAUCGGCUAACUCCGUGCCAGCAGCCGCGGUAAUACGGAGGAUGCGAGCGUUAUCCGGAUUUAUUGGGUUUAAAGGGUGCGCAGGCGGUCUGUUAAGUCAGCGGUGAAAGGUUGGGGCUCAACCCCGACACCGCCGUUGAAACGGGCAGACUCGAGUGGGUGAGAGGUAGGCGGAAUGCGCGGUGUAGCGGUGAAAUGCAUAGAUAUCGCGCAGAACUCCGAUUGCGAAGGCAGCAUGC
RNAcentral lists this ribosomal RNA (394 nucleotides) under uncultured bacterium. RNAcentral's name for it is "partial 16S ribosomal RNA". It matches the Rfam family "Bacterial small subunit ribosomal RNA", at positions 338 to 729 of the family's 1533-position model. The record is from RNAcentral.